RNAcentral lists this ribosomal RNA (492 nucleotides) under uncultured bacterium. RNAcentral's name for it is "partial 16S ribosomal RNA". It matches the Rfam family "Bacterial small subunit ribosomal RNA", at positions 29 to 507 of the family's 1533-position model. The record is from RNAcentral.
AGUGAACGCUGGCGGUAGGCCUAACACAUGCAAGUCGAACGGCAGCACAGUAAGAGCUUGCUCUUACGGGUGGCGAGUGGCGGACGGGUGAGGAAUACAUCGGAAUCUACUUUUUCGUGGGGGAUAACGUAGGGAAACUUACGCUAAUACCGCAUACGACCUACGGGUGAAAGCAGGGGGUCUUCGGACCUUGCGCGAUUGAAUGAGCCGAUGUCGGAUUAGCUAGUUGGCGGGGUAAAGGCCCACCGAGGCGACGAUCCGUAGCUGGUCUGAGAGGAUGAUCAGCCACACUGGAACUGAGACACGGUCCAGACUCCUACGGGAGGCAGCAGUGGGGAAUAUUGGACAAUGGGCGCAAGCCUGAUCCAGCCAUACCGCGUGGGUGAAGAAGGCCUUCGGGUUGUAAAGCCCUUUUGUUGGGAAAGAAAAGCAGCAGGUUAAUACCCCGCUGUUCUGACGGUACCCAAAGAAUAAGCACCGGCUAACUUCGUG